Molecule: ribosomal RNA, 253 nt
Filed under: uncultured bacterium
Lineage: Bacteria
Description: partial 16S ribosomal RNA
Rfam family: Bacterial small subunit ribosomal RNA
Source: RNAcentral
UACGUAGGGUGCAAGCGUUGUCCGGAAUUAUUGGGCGUAAAGAGCUCGUAGGCGGCUUGUCGCGUCGGCUGUGAAAACCUGGGGCUCAACCCCGGGCCUGCAUUCGAUACGGGCAGACUAGAGUUCGGUAGGGGAGUCUGGAAUUCCUGGUGUAGCGGUGAAAUGCGCAGAUAUCAGGAGGAACACCGGUGGCGAAGGCGGGACUCUGGGCCGAUACUGACGCUGAGGAGCGAAAGCGUGGGGAGCAAACAGG